RNAcentral lists this transfer RNA (78 nucleotides) under Bacillus thuringiensis. RNAcentral's name for it is "tRNA-Glu". It matches the Rfam family "tRNA". From Rfam's summary of the family: Transfer RNA (tRNA) molecules are approximately 80 nucleotides in length. Their secondary structure includes four short double-helical elements and three loops (D, anti-codon, and T loops). Lineage: Bacteria; Bacillati; Bacillota; Bacilli; Caryophanales; Bacillaceae. The record is from RNAcentral.
GGCGCAUUGGUGAAGUUGGCUUAACACAACGCCCUUUCAAGGCGGGAUACAUCGGUUCGAAUCCGAUAUGCGUCACCA